Molecule: ribosomal RNA, 425 nt
Filed under: uncultured bacterium
Lineage: Bacteria
Description: bacterial SSU rRNA
Rfam family: Bacterial small subunit ribosomal RNA
Source: RNAcentral
AGGGAAUAUUGCGCAAUGGGCGAAAGCCUGACGCAGCGACACCGUGUGUAGGAUGAAGAUCUUCGGAUCGUAAACUAUUGUCAGUUGAAGACGAAGGCAGUAGAGUUAAGAGCUCGAAUGCUGACGGUAUUCAAUAAGGAAGUCUCGGCUAACUCCGUGCCAGCAGCCGCGGUAAUACGGAGGAGGCAAGCAUUGUCCGGAAUUAUUGGGCGUAAAGAACACGUAGGUGGUUUUUCAAGUCAUGUGUGAAAACUUUGGGCUUAACUCAAAGAUUGCAUAGGAUACUGAUUAACUAGAGUACAGUAGAGGAAAGUGGAAUUCCUGGUGUCGCGGUGAAAUGCGCAGAUAUCAGGAAGAACACCGGUGGCGAAAGCGGCUUUCUGGACUGUUACUGACGCUGAGGUGUGAAAGCUAGGGUAGCGAAC